UACGUAGGGUGCAAGCGUUGUCCGGAAUUAUUGGGCGUAAAGAGCUCGUAGGCGGUUUGUCGCGUCGAAUGUGAAAACCCGGGGCUCAACCCCGGGCCUGCAUUCGAUACGGGCAGACUAGAGUUCGGUAGGGGAGUCUGGAAUUCCUGGUGUAGCGGUGAAAUGCGCAGAUAUCAGGAGGAACACCGGUGGCGAAGGCGGGUCUCUGGGCAACUACUGACGCUGAGGAGCGAAAGCGUGGGGAGCGAACAGG
This 253-nucleotide ribosomal RNA is filed under the name uncultured bacterium. Its description in RNAcentral is "partial 16S ribosomal RNA". It matches the Rfam family "Bacterial small subunit ribosomal RNA", at positions 524 to 776 of the family's 1533-position model. The record is from RNAcentral.